RNAcentral lists this transfer RNA (72 nucleotides) under Thynnichthys thynnoides. Its description in RNAcentral is "tRNA-Thr". It matches the Rfam family "tRNA". Rfam says of the family: Transfer RNA (tRNA) molecules are approximately 80 nucleotides in length. Their secondary structure includes four short double-helical elements and three loops (D, anti-codon, and T loops). RNAcentral also lists the same sequence under 1 other name. The record is from RNAcentral. Lineage: Eukaryota; Metazoa; Chordata; Actinopteri; Cypriniformes; Cyprinidae.
GCCCUAAUAGCUUAGCCUAAAAGCGUCGGUCUUGUAAUCCGAAGAUCGGAGGUUAAACUCCUCCUUAGCGCC